GAUGAACGCUGGCGGCGUGCCUAAUACAUGCAAGUCGAGCGAACAGACGAGGAGCUUGCUCCUCUGACGUUAGCGGCGGACGGGUGAGUAACACGUGGAUAACCUACCUAUAAGACCGGGAUAACUUCGGGAAACCGGAGCUAAUACCGGAUAAUAUAUUGAACCGCAUGGUUCAAUAGUGAAAGACGGUUUUGCUGUCACUUAUAGAUGGAUCCGCGCCGCAUUAGCUAGUUGGUAAGGUAACGGCUUACCAAGGCAACGAUGCGUAGCCGACCUGAGAGAGUGAUCGGCCACACUGGAACUGAGACACGGUCCAGACUCCUACGGGAGGCAGCAGUAGGGAAUCUUCCGCAAUGGGCGAAAGCCUGACGGAGCAACGCCGCGUGAGUGAUGAAGGUCUUCGGAUCGUAAAACUCUGUUAUUAGGGAAGAACAAAUGUGUAAGUAAAUAUGCAUGUCUUGACGGUACCUAAUCAGAAAGCCACGGCUAACUACGUG
This 497-nucleotide ribosomal RNA is filed under the name uncultured bacterium. Its description in RNAcentral is "partial 16S ribosomal RNA". It matches the Rfam family "Bacterial small subunit ribosomal RNA", at positions 28 to 507 of the family's 1533-position model. The record is from RNAcentral.